Molecule: ribosomal RNA, 506 nt
Filed under: uncultured bacterium
Lineage: Bacteria
Description: partial 16S ribosomal RNA
Rfam family: Bacterial small subunit ribosomal RNA
Source: RNAcentral
GAUGAACGCUAGCGGCAGGCCUAACACAUGCAAGUCGAGGGGUAACUAGAGUGAUAGCAAUAUUACUUUGGCUAGACCGGCGCACGGGUGCGUAACACGUAUGCAACCUACCUUAUACUGGGGAAUAACUUCGAGAAAUCGGCGCUAAUACCCCAUAACAUUGCGAAGAGGCAUCUCUUUGCAUUUAAAGCUCCGGCGGUAUAAGAUGGGCAUGCGUCCAAUUAGCUAGUUGGUGAGGUAACGGCUCACCAAGGCUACGAUUGGUAGGGGUUCUGAGAGGGUGAUCCCCCACACUGGUACUGAGACACGGACCAGACUCCUACGGGAGGCAGCAGUGAGGAAUAUUGCGCAAUGGACGAAAGUCUGACGCAGCCAUGCCGCGUGCAGGAUGACGGCCCUAUGGGUUGUAAACUGCUUUUGUACGGGAAUAAACCCUUCUACGUGUAGGAGGCUGAAGGUACCGUAAGAAUAAGCACCGGCUAACUCCGUGCCAGCCGCCGCGGUAA